Molecule: long non-coding RNA, 348 nt
Organism: Hyla sarda
Lineage: Eukaryota; Metazoa; Chordata; Amphibia; Anura; Hylidae
Exons: 3
Source: RefSeq, a predicted model, not a curated record
GAGCAGGACUAGCACUCCUCUGUACUAACUCCUGUCCUGUCUAUCUGAUUCCUGUCUAAAAACAGAGAGAAGGGGUUACAGAGCAGCCUGCAGUGAAUGGAUGAAGAGACCCAGUGACUGCAUGAAACGUUAAAGAAGCGCUCUGCACGUUGUACUCUGCCUGCCCUGUCAGGUAGAUGUUGCCUCAUCUUGCCACAUGCUUGCCACAUCAGGUAAAAAAAAUUUGGUGACAGAUACUUCUUGGACUCUUGAAUCUAUCAAUAACAGUGUCAUCACGGAGCUGAGCCAUCUGCAUAGAUGAAAGUCUAUUUUAUCAGGACUCCACCCAAAAGGGAUGAAUGUUCUAAC